CCACCUCGUCCGGCAGAAAAUAGCCCUUUGAGAAACAUAUUGCACAUUAUUUGCUUGUUAUCUUGCCCUGUGACCUUGCAGCUGGUCUGCAAGAAAAACAGGAGUCUUGAGAUGCCUGGGGACUUGACUGAGAAUGUGGGGAGAAUAGAUAAGGUAGGUUUUAUAUUGAACACAACACAGUAAACUUUAUUAUGCAGCAAUUAUAGACUACUAUUGAUAUUAUUUAAUUUCCCUC
Molecule: long non-coding RNA, 235 nt
Organism: Sapajus apella (tufted capuchin)
Lineage: Eukaryota; Metazoa; Chordata; Mammalia; Primates; Cebidae
Exons: 2
Source: RefSeq, a predicted model, not a curated record